GAGUGAGGGGACCAGGGUGGAAAAUCUGGAUUCUACCCCAAGUGUAAGUCUCAAACUGACUGGAGAGCAGGGGAAAGAGAAGGGUCAAGAACUCAGGGACUCAUUUUAUGUUCCCCUUCCUGCUGUGGCCCUCAUUACAGUGGAACUGAACUAGAGGAUACUCAAGGAAUCAGAGGCACACCUGGCCCCGAGAAUGAGACACUUAACAGUUUUUUUCCCAGACUACAGAGGAGGUGUGGCUGCAGGGGAAAGCAAGCAGGCAUGCUCCCUCCUGACGCUAGUUCUAAGGGGACAUGUAAAGGAUUUGGGCCAAGUUUGUAUAGGAAUGUCCUGGGAGGCCUCCUGCAAGCCAGGGAAGGCUGAAAGAACUAACAGCUUCUCUGACAUGGAGGGCUGGUCAGGCUCUGCAGUGUCACUGCUUGUGUUUGUAUCAUUCUUUCACCACUGAGUUACUGUGUGACUGUGGACAAAUUUCUUAACUUCUCUGAGCCUUAGAUUUCUCAACUCUAACAUGAAGAUUUUCCUAUAUUUUAAAAAGUUAUGAUGAGUCAAUGAGAGAAUUAACGUAAAGCGCCUGGCAUAAAGAAAGCCCUCAAGAAAUGAUAGUAUUAGUGAACAUCUUGUUGCCGUCCUAGGCUCGAAUAGACUGUCCCUAAACACUCUGUUCCCACCGCUGUGAACAGUGGCAGCAUAAUUCUUUUGCAGAAUACUUCCAUUAUUUGCUUAUGUCCCUAAUGGGACCCAAAUGCCAAACUUGUAAGUCCAUCCUGUUCUACUAAAAGGCAGGGGCACAGAUAGAAAGCUGCUGAGAGACUACACUCUGAGGUCAGCCUUGACCCUGAGGCUCAUCUGGCUCUCCCUGUUCCUCUACAGCCAGGCAAACAGGAUUCCUGCAGACAAUGCUCGGAUGAUGAAAUCUGAGAGGCUGGAUGACAGAGAAACCCACAUGCAUACACACACACUUUAUAAAGCUUAGGAACAAAAGCACUUUAUAAUCUCCUUCUGAUGCCAAGUUUACAGUGCUUCCAGAGUCAACAAAGGUGACUCAGGAGAGUGCACCCAGCUCCUUUCAGCACUUAUUUAGCUCAGCCACCUGUGUGAGCUCAAAGACAAGGGUGCCGACUUCACCUGAGUAGACCCUGAGUCACGUGAUUUCUUGCUGGAGAUGAUUCAGCAAAGGAGCACUAACCUCUGAGACAAGGCUUCAGCUUCCUGAGCUCUGCUGACUCGCCUGGGACUUCCCUAAGCCCUUCUGGACCUAGAUGAGGGCAAAACUCAGUGGAACCUCAGAAGCCCUAAAAAAAUGAUAGACUUUCUUUUGUCUCAUCAUUAUCAGCAUUUUGGGAUGAUUUAGUCAGCCUAAGAAACCUGAUGGCAUGUUGACACCAGAAAACAGGUAGUAUAUAUUCCCAAACCAAGUUAAAAAAAAUUAAGAAAUAACAGCUGGAAUGCCUUUUAUUUUUUCUUUACACAAAUGUGUGUGUCAUCGUCAUAUGCCUUUUUUGUGUUAAUUUCUGAGGAUCCUGCCAGUGUGAAUACUCCAUUCUCUGCGAGUCGCAGGUCAGGCUGCUUUUGAGGCAAGCACACGUUAAGUAUUGAGCAGAAACAUUUGAAGCAAAGAUGAGAAAGACAGAAGGGGAAGCAAGAAAAAUAGUCUUCCCAGUGUGCCUAUUUGGGUGCAUAUAAAGUUACUUUUAGAUGUGCGAUUACUGGUUAAUGAUUUGGGGAAUUCUUUUCAAGUAGAAAUCCUGGGCUAAAAACUAAGUGUGCUCAAGCUACCCCCGCACCCACUGAUUCUGCACUCCAUGGGAAAAGUUCUCACAAGCAAGUCCUUUGUCCACUACCCACGUCUAUAGGAAAUGUUUGAACAGCUAUACACAAAGAACUCACAAGUCCACAACCUCGGGGGUGUUGCGGGUGGAGAGGGCAGUGGUAAAGGUGAUGACAGGGAGGGCCUGUGGGGACAGUAAUAUUAGAUUAGUGGUCAGAAGAUGCUGGAGCCUGCCUUGCCAGUCACACACUUUUAGAGGAAUGCUGGACAGUACACACCCUCCCCAACCCUGAAUGUAGGCCCUCGCUGACAUCACGCCAGAUGAAGCCCUGAGGUCUUUAACAUCUGUAACUCUAUGGCAUGUAACAUAAACAGGUGUCUGACCAGUUUCCCCAGAUAUAGAAUAAUAAUAAUACCUUUCAUUUAAAAAGGUAAGAGGGAAUUCAACAAGCUUUCCUUCUUAAAUAAAUCUCCAUCUCAGGAAGCCAUGGAAAGAUGCCCCUCCCACACUAAGACUGUAGAGAGAGGCACUGUGAAGGUCUGGCUUGGAGAUCUCAGCUCUUCCUGCCUCUCAGGGGGAAAGGGCAGAUCCAGCAGGCCGGGAAAGGAUCUCCCAGGGUCCCAAGGAGGCAGCAUGGGGCAAAGUCCAACAGUGAGGAUUCUCUCCUUCUCUGGUCUCUUUUCUGUUAAAAAUGCUUCUUUGGGGUACCCUUCAUUACUACCCUGGAGGUUGAAGGACACUUCUUGAGAAGGCAUAGAUACUCUUCAGGUAUGCUGAAGAAAUGAGUUGUGCUAAAACCACUGGUUAAUUUUGUCUGUGGCAAAAAAUCAUGAGGGUGACAUAGACUCCCAGGCCAGGAACCCGAGACUGGAUUUAAGAGAUGUGGCCAGGAUCCACAGGGGAGCUUGUAUGUGGCUCACAUCAUUAGCUCUUUCUGUAUAUUUGUAUUGUAAACCAUUUCCCUUCAUUUGUGAAGAUGGAGAUCACUUUUUCUAUACAGGCUAGAAAUGUUUCUUCAUACACACACGCUGAGCUUGUUUAUAAAAGAUAUUCAUUUAUAUGGUGGUUUUAACAACUUUUCCAUGUGGAAAUUUUAGACGACAGUAACACAGACCCUCAUGUACUCAUCACUCAGCCUUGAUGGUUACUGACACAUGCCCAAUAUUGUUUCAUCUGUUUCUCCCCACAACUCCUGGAUUAAUUUGAAAGAAAUCCUAGAAGUCACUUAAUCAGCAAAUACUCCAGUCUGUUGGUCCACUCCUUAUACAAUAGCCAGGGUGAUCUUUUACACAUGAAGUAGUGAUUGCAUCACUCAUGCUUGCUUGGAAUUCUUCAAAGACUUACGUUGGCACUUCAGAUAAAGUGUAGACUCCUUCGCGUGACCUAGGAUGUCCUUUGGGCUCUCACUGUUCCCUCAGCCUCCUCACCUGAAGCUCUCACUGCCCCACCCCUUUGCUCAUCACACUCCAACCCGCCUGCCAUUGAGCUACUCAAAUGGACUGCUCCUUUCUCAAGACCUCUGCACACUUUCAAGCCUCAUUUCUCUUCAGCCUUUAUUAAAUGUCAUCUCCUCCAGAUGGCCUCCUUUGGUGGCCCAGGUCAUGUUAGAUCUGCCUGUUAAAUAAAU
Molecule: long non-coding RNA, 3399 nt
Filed under: Homo sapiens (human)
Lineage: Eukaryota; Metazoa; Chordata; Mammalia; Primates; Hominidae
Description: PRKCH antisense RNA 2
Source: RNAcentral